GACGAACGCUUUCUUCGUGCUUAACACAUGCAAGUCGAACGGAAAGGCCCUGCUUUUGUGGGGUGCUCGAGUGGCGAACGGGUGAGUAACACGUGAGUAACCUGCCCUUGACUUUGGGAUAACUUCAGGAAACUGGGGCUAAUACCGGAUAGGAGCUCCUGCUGCAUGGUGGGGGUUGGAAAGUUUCGGCGGUUGGGGAUGGACUCGCGGCUUAUCAGCUUGUUGGUGGGGUAGUGGCUUACCAAGGCUUUGACGGGUAGCCGGCCUGAGAGGGUGACCGGCCACAUUGGGCCUGAGAUACGGCCCAGACUCCUACGGGAGGCAGCAGUGGGGAAUAUUGCACAGUGGGCGGAAGCCUGAUGCAGCAACGCCGCGUGCGGGAUGACGGCCUUCGGGUUGUAAACCGCUUUCGCCUGUGACGAAGCGUGAGUGACGGUAAUGGGUAAAGAAGCACCGGCUAACUACGUG
This 468-nucleotide ribosomal RNA is filed under the name uncultured bacterium. Its description in RNAcentral is "partial 16S ribosomal RNA". It matches the Rfam family "Bacterial small subunit ribosomal RNA", at positions 28 to 507 of the family's 1533-position model. The record is from RNAcentral.